Molecule: long non-coding RNA, 737 nt
Organism: Gallus gallus (chicken)
Lineage: Eukaryota; Metazoa; Chordata; Aves; Galliformes; Phasianidae
Exons: 2
Source: RefSeq, a predicted model, not a curated record
CUUCUUUCUGCAGUUAAAAUGAAGAAGAAAACUAAAAUUAACAAGAAAAAAGUCAGAUAUGAUUCUGCUGCCUCUCCGAAAAUAGACUGCUGCAGUAUACUCAUAUGCUUAUAUUUAUAAAAAAAAAGAAAAGAAAUGAAAUGAAAUAUGCUUGUGAGUUAUUCCAGAGAAAAACAUAAAAACAGACUUUCAUGAAACAACUUGCAAAGUAUAACCAAAAAAGCUACUUUGUGAAGUGAAAACAUACUCUAUAUUUAAAAUCUGUCAAAUAAAGUGCAAGUUCUUCCACUUUUUAUUUGAUUUUUUUUUUAAAUUCUUUUAACAGAAACAGCCUUGUUUGGCUGUUAAAAAUCCUAGUCUUUGAGUCGAGUGUCCAGAAUGCUGCAGCAAAACACAAAUCCUUUAAUGUUUCUUUUCAGCUUUUGCCUGUUUCCUGAAUUCAAAUAGCUAAAGCAACCUGGAGCUCACGAGCAUGAGAGUGAUUGAGAAUACUUGGAUUUGUGCCAAGAAUAUCUCCAGAUUUAAAGCAAAACAACAGAAUUACUUUUGUGAAUUAGGAAAUGGAAGCCUAUUAAUUCAAUCUCAGCAUUUAAACUUACUUUGAGAGCGUAGAGUCCUGACUUCCCAGGGAUUUUGAAGAAUGUUCCAUCACCUACACGAGUGUUAGUAUGAAGCAUUGCAUUCAGGCAAGCUAAUGGAGAAGUUCCACUGAAAAAUAAAAUUGUGCAAAAAUAAAA